UGCUAAACAUUCCUUUUCCGU
RNAcentral lists this non-coding RNA (21 nucleotides) under Drosophila melanogaster (fruit fly). The record is from RNAcentral. Lineage: Eukaryota; Metazoa; Arthropoda; Insecta; Diptera; Drosophilidae.